GGAUACCACAAAAUCUUAUGUUAUACUUGAUGAAAGUAUAAAUAAAAUCUUUAAAUGUUAGUGAAUCUAUUGUUUUGAUGGGAUACACAUUCUACGAAACUAGUUUCGACGAUCCAACCGUCAAACUUGUUUUUAUAUGCUUUGAGAUCGCAUAUGCCAAAAAUUGCAAAAAACAAACUGUAGACAUCGAAAUUUCGGUAAAUAAAUGUUGACCGAUAAAUCAAAGUGUCAACGCUCAUGUAUUACAUAAAUUUUACACGUAGCGUGUGACUAAACGAAAAUUGAAAUGAGUUGGAAAAGUCAUCAAAUAGGACACGUGUCAACACCUGGCAGAAACGACUUAUUUCAUCUGGGAUAUUAUAUUCAAAAUUAGGCCUUGGAAAAUUCUAUAAAUACAAGCCCAUUUCAUUAAUUCAAGGGAACCAAUUCAUAUUACACCUUGAAGCUCGGAAGCUCUGAAACUCUGAAGCUCUCAAGCAUCCAGCAAAUCCCGAAGAAUCAAGAAAGUGUUCUUCGUUCUUCGUUCAUCGUUCAUCCAAGAUCAAGCCCCAACGGCCCUUUGGAUCAACAAUCAUCCACCAAUCCAAGAUCAAGCCCCGACGGCCCUUGAAGAAAGCACCAUCAUUCAUCAUCCGUUCACCCAAGAUCAAGCCCCAACGGCCCUUUGGAUCAACAAACGUCAACAAAUCCACACAUCCAACCGUUCUUCAAGAUCAAGCCCAAAAGCCCUUGAAGAUCCGCUCAUCACCGUUAUUCAAGAUCAAGCCUCAAACGGCCCUUGAAGAAACAUUCAUCCUCAAGAUCAAGCCCCAACUGCUCCUUGAAGAUCCGCUCAAAUCCACCUUCAAAGAUCAAGCCCAUGGCCCUUUGAAGAAACUUCCAACUGUUCGUCCAAGAUCAAGCCUCGACGGCCCUUGGAUCAACGAAACACCCAUAAAUCAACACCUUACGGAGAUCGAAUCAGAGGAUCAAAUUUGAGAGAGAUUGUAACCCAAAACUAUCAAAUACAAAUAUUUGUUUGUGCACGUCGUUUCUUGUCUCUUUCGUUUCAGGAAUUUUCCGUGUUCACAAAUUGGCAUGCCUAGUGGGACAAUCUCUGCCUCUCAUCUCUUUCUCCGUUCAAGAAAUUCAAGCGCGCUUCCAAAAUUAAUGGCAUCAAGGAAGGCUCAAAUUGUCCCCGCAACCGGCGCAAAGAACAAAAGCGUCCUCGUCGCAACUGGUGUCA
RNAcentral lists this long non-coding RNA (1225 nucleotides) under Malus domestica (apple). Its description in RNAcentral is "long non-coding RNA (MDOM_LNC020902)". The record is from RNAcentral. Lineage: Eukaryota; Viridiplantae; Streptophyta; Magnoliopsida; Rosales; Rosaceae.